Molecule: long non-coding RNA, 451 nt
Organism: Gallus gallus (chicken)
Lineage: Eukaryota; Metazoa; Chordata; Aves; Galliformes; Phasianidae
Source: Ensembl
AUUGAUUUAAAGUCACCUCUAGGGAGAAGUUUAAGGUGAGAAGCGCAGCAACGAUCUCCUAGGAGGCUGCGGUACCUGACACUGCCAUCAAUGUCUGGUUUAGUAUGUCUGAAGGGCUACAAUUACAGCAUGCUCCACUAGUUCUGUCAGAGGUCUCCCCAAGGAAUGUCUCUUUCCACAGAGCGCUGAGAUCUACUUCCUGACGGACACAAACACACUCCUGUGCGGCUGCCAGCCACCGCUGGCUGGGACUCCUCCACGCAGCGAGUUUCAGACCUGGGCCUCUGGCACCUUCACCGUGCUCACCCAGAUCACAGAGAUCACAUGUUACAAACCCGUUCAAGACUUCACACUAUUGAUAGGCUCUGCUUUUGCACAGAGGAGAUCAUCCAGUUAGAAAUAAAGACAGUAAACAACUAACGCGCUGACUUGGUGCGCCUGAGUUGCCGAG